AUUUGUAUACCCUUUGGUUUGAUAUAGGGCCCUACUACGGCCCAUGAUCAUACAAAAUCUAAAAGUAAAACUGAAUUUACAUUAGAUUUGGGAAUGCAAGACACAUAUCAAGAACCUUACAAGAUAUCCACGGCAAGCUAAUGAAGUUCAGAGCACCAAGAAAAGGGGGAAAAGGGAAGAAAAAAGUAUAUAUCAGAAGAAGAAAAGUUGAUAAAAUGUUGUCAUUCAGUUUCAAUCUCAUCUUCAGAAUCUCUGAGAUUUUCCUUCAAGGACUGUUUCUGGAGUUGCCACCUUUCUCUAUCCCAGGCCUCAUCCAUUUCAGGCAAUGCAUAUUCGUCGGGUCUUAACGACAGUUGGAAAUCUGGCAGGUCAGGCAAUGCUUGCAAAGCCUUCUCUUCUUCCAACAGGUAGCCAUACAUCUGAGAUUUCUUUGAAGCAACUUCAGGAAUUUUCUGAUGCAAGUGCUUCAUAGCACCCCACAAUGGAGGAGAUCUGGU
Molecule: unclassified non-coding RNA, 497 nt
Filed under: Hevea brasiliensis (rubber tree)
Lineage: Eukaryota; Viridiplantae; Streptophyta; Magnoliopsida; Malpighiales; Euphorbiaceae
Source: RNAcentral